RNAcentral lists this unclassified non-coding RNA (398 nucleotides) under Hevea brasiliensis (rubber tree). The record is from RNAcentral. Lineage: Eukaryota; Viridiplantae; Streptophyta; Magnoliopsida; Malpighiales; Euphorbiaceae.
GGAACAGAUGCUCUGUCCCUGGAAUUCUUCCCAAAUCUUCUUCGCUUCCUCCUUGAGCAAGCUUUUCUUAUCCAAGGCAUGGUAGGCCUCCAAUGUAUUAGUGUUGUAAAGAAUUCCAGGGACAGAGCAUCUGUUCCUGUUGCCGCGAGAGAUAGCUGGAACUGACGAUUGCUCACUUUCAUCACUAGGCAGGGAUUCCGAAAGAAGAGUCAAGUGGUUCGAUACCUGAGAAUGCGAACAAGGGGCAUAGAAACCGGUGAUGGCGAUAGGAGAAUCGUCGAUGCCGAACUUGUUGAGCUUCAAAGAAGACAACCUAUGCCAGAAACCCUCAUCUACGAAGCUCUGAAACGGCGCGAAUUGGAGAAUAGAUCCACCACUCCGUUCUUGUUUAGACAUUG